This 492-nucleotide ribosomal RNA is filed under the name uncultured bacterium. Its description in RNAcentral is "partial 16S ribosomal RNA". It matches the Rfam family "Bacterial small subunit ribosomal RNA", at positions 29 to 507 of the family's 1533-position model. The record is from RNAcentral.
AGUGAACGCUGGCGGUAGGCCUAAUACAUGCAAGUCGAACGGCAGCACAGUAAGCGUUCGCCUCUACGGGUGGCGACUGGCGGGUGGGUGAGGCAUACAUAGGCUUCUUCUAUUUCGUGGGGGAUUUCGUAGGGACAGUUCUGCUAACAGCUCAUAUGUUCUACGGGAGAAAGCAGGAGAUCAUCGCAGUCUGCGUGAUUGUAUGAGCUGAUGCCGGAUUACCUAGUUGGGGAGGUAAAGGCCCACCAAGGCGACGAUACGUAGCAGGUCUGAGAGGGUGAUCGGCCACACUGGAACUGAGACACGGUCCAGACUCCUACGGGAGGCAGCAGUGGGGAAUAUUGGGCAAUGGGCGCAAGCCUGAUCGAGCCAUGCCGCGUGAGUGAUGAAGGUCUUCGGAUUGUAAAGCUCUGUUAUUAGGGAAGAAAAGAUGCAGGAUAAUACCCCGCUGUUCUGACGGUACCCAAAGAGUAAGCACCGGCUAACUUCGUG